RNAcentral lists this ribosomal RNA (451 nucleotides) under uncultured bacterium. Its description in RNAcentral is "partial 16S ribosomal RNA". It matches the Rfam family "Bacterial small subunit ribosomal RNA", at positions 354 to 796 of the family's 1533-position model. The record is from RNAcentral.
GUGGGGAAUAUUGGACAAUGGGGGGAACCCUGAUCCAGCCAUACCGCGUGUGUGAAGAAGGCCUUUUGGUUGUAAAGCACUUUAAGCGAGGAGGAGGCUACCGAGAUUAAUACUCUUGGAUAGUGGACGUUACUCGCAGAAUAAGCACCGGCUAACUCUGUGCCAGCAGCCGCGGUAAUACAGAGGGUGCAAGCGUUAAUCGGAUUUACUGGGCGUAAAGCGCGCGUAGGUGGCCAAUUAAGUCAAAUGUGAAAUCCCCGAGCUUAACUUGGGAAUUGCAUUCGAUACUGGUUGGCUAGAGUAUGGGAGAGGAUGGUAGAAUUCCAGGUGUAGCGGUGAAAUGCGUAGAGAUCUGGAGGAAUACCGAUGGCGAAGGCAGCCAUCUGGCCUAAUACUGACACUGAGGUGCGAAAGCAUGGGGAGCAAACAGGAUUAGAAACCCCUGUAGUCC